This 402-nucleotide RNase P RNA is filed under the name Verrucomicrobiota bacterium. RNAcentral describes it as "Verrucomicrobia bacterium RNase P RNA component class A". It matches the Rfam family "Bacterial RNase P class A". From Rfam's summary of the family: Ribonuclease P (RNase P) is a ubiquitous endoribonuclease, found in archaea, bacteria and eukarya as well as chloroplasts and mitochondria. Its best characterised activity is the generation of mature 5'-ends of tRNAs by cleaving the 5'-leader elements of precursor-tRNAs. The record is from RNAcentral. Lineage: Bacteria; Pseudomonadati; Verrucomicrobiota.
CGAUGGCAGAUGAUCGCUGGUGGACCGUUUUGCGGUUCGCUGGAGGAAAGUCCGAACACCAUACGGCAGCAUGCCGCGUAAAAAACGCGGGCGCCGCAGUUGAAAAAUUGCGGUGACGGAGAGUGUCACAGAAAAGACACCGCCGGUUCUUUGAGAAAAGUGCAGGCAAGGGUGAAAAGGCGAGGUAAGAGCUCACCGCUCGCGAAGUAAUUCGCGAGGCACGAAAAACCCCAUGCGGUGCAAGACAAAACAGAGGAAGGGCAGCUGGCCCGUUUGAUCCUCGGGUAUCGUCGCAUCACGAUGCGCGCAAGCGCGUCGGACGCUCGGAGAAAUUCGAGUGAGAUAAAUGAUCAUCCGGUCGCCACGGCGAGCCGACAGAAUUCGGCUUAUCGCCAUCGAAAA